AUUGAACGCUGGCGGCAUGCUUUACACAUGCAAGUCGAACGGCAGCGCGGGCUUCGGCCUGGCGGCGAGUGGCGAACGGGUGAGUAAUGCAUCGGAACGUGCCCAGUAGUGGGGGAUAGCCCGGCGAAAGCCGGAUUAAUACCGCAUACGACCUGAGGGUGAAAGCGGGGGACCGAAAGGCCUCGCGCUAUUGGAGCGGCCGAUGUCGGAUUAGCUAGUUGGUGGGGUAAAGGCUUAUCAAGGCGACGAUCAGUAGCUGGUCUGAGCGGACGACCAGCCACACUGGGACUGAGACACGGCCCAGACUCCUACGGGAGGCAGCAGUGGGGAAUUUUGGACAAUGGGGGCAACCCUGAUCCAGCCAUGCCGCGUGCGGGAAGAAGGCCUUCGGGUUGUAAACCGCUUUUGUUCGGGAAGAAAUCCUCUGGGCUAAUACCCCGGGGGGAUGACGGUACCGGAAGAAUAGGCACCGGCUAACUACGUG
This 484-nucleotide ribosomal RNA is filed under the name uncultured bacterium. Its description in RNAcentral is "partial 16S ribosomal RNA". It matches the Rfam family "Bacterial small subunit ribosomal RNA", at positions 28 to 507 of the family's 1533-position model. The record is from RNAcentral.